GAUGAACGCUGGCGGCGUGCCUAAUACAUGCAAGUCGAGCGAACAGACGAGGAGCUUGCUCCUCUGACGUUAGCGGCGGACGGGUGAGUAACACGUGGAUAACCUACCUAUAGGACUGGGAUAACUUCGGGAAACCGGAUCUAAUACCGGAUAAUAUAUUGAACCGCAUGGUUCAAUAGUGAAAGACGGUUUUGCUGUCACUUAUAGAUGGAUCCGCGCCGCAUUAGCUAGUUGGUAAGGUAACGGCUUACCAAGGCGACGAUGCGUAGCCGACCUGAGAGGGUGAUAGGCCACCCUGGAACUGAGACACGGUCCAGACUCCUACGGGAGGCAGCAGUAGGGAUUCUUCCGAAAUGGGCGAAAGCCUGACGGAGCAACGCCGCGUGAGUGAUGAAGGUCUUCGGAUCGUAAAACUCUGUUAUUAGGGAAGAACAAAUGUGUAAGUAACUAUGCACGUCUUGACGGUACCUAAUCAGAAAGCCACGGCUAACUACGUG
Molecule: ribosomal RNA, 497 nt
Filed under: uncultured bacterium
Lineage: Bacteria
Description: partial 16S ribosomal RNA
Rfam family: Bacterial small subunit ribosomal RNA
Source: RNAcentral